AACGCACAUUGCGCCUCCCGGUAUUCCGGGAGGCAUGCCUGUUCGAGCGUCAUUAAAUACCUCUCAAGCGAAUUUGCUUGGUCGUGGAAGAUGAGUAUGCUUGCAUUCUCCCUUCUGAAAUUCAAAGGCGGAUGAUCGCAUAUCCCCAGGUGUAGUAAGUUUAUCUUUUCGCUUGGUGUGUGUGAUUGUCCUGCCGUUGACCCCCAUUUUUUCAAGGUUGACCUCGGAUCAGGUAGGGAUACCCGCUGAACUUAA
Molecule: unclassified non-coding RNA, 255 nt
Filed under: Devriesia sp.
Lineage: Eukaryota; Fungi; Ascomycota; Dothideomycetes; Mycosphaerellales; Teratosphaeriaceae
Description: partial contains 5.8S ribosomal RNA, internal transcribed spacer 2, and large subunit ribosomal RNA
Rfam family: 5.8S ribosomal RNA (bases 1-52)
Source: RNAcentral